GACGAACGCUGGCGGCGUGCUUAACACAUGCAAGUCGAACGGAAAGGCCCUGCUUUUGUGGGGUGCUCGAGUGGCGAACGCGUGAGUAACACGUGAGUAACCUGCCCUUGACUUUGGGAUAACUUCAGGAAACUGGGGCUAAUACCGGAUAGGAGCUCCUGCUGCAUGGUGGGGGUUGGAAAGUUUCGGCGGUUGGGGAUGGACUGGCGGCUUAUCAGCUUGUUGGUGGGGUAGUGGCUUACCAAGGCUUUGAAGGGUAGCCGGCCUGAGAGGUGGAACGGGGACAUGGGGACUGAGAGACGGACCAGACGCGUACGGGAGGCAGCAGUGGGGAAUCUUGCACAAUGGGCGGACGCCUGAUGCAGCAACGCCGCGUUCGGGAUGACGGCCUUCGGGGUGUAAACCGCUUUCGCCGUUGACGAAGAGCGAGUGACGGUAAUGGGUAAAGAAGCACCGGCUAACUACGUG
This 468-nucleotide ribosomal RNA is filed under the name uncultured bacterium. RNAcentral's name for it is "partial 16S ribosomal RNA". It matches the Rfam family "Bacterial small subunit ribosomal RNA", at positions 28 to 507 of the family's 1533-position model. The record is from RNAcentral.